This 1193-nucleotide ribosomal RNA is filed under the name Vibrio sonorensis. Its description in RNAcentral is "16S ribosomal RNA". It matches the Rfam family "Bacterial small subunit ribosomal RNA", at positions 202 to 1382 of the family's 1533-position model. The record is from RNAcentral. Lineage: Bacteria; Pseudomonadati; Pseudomonadota; Gammaproteobacteria; Vibrionales; Vibrionaceae.
AGAGGGGGACCUUCGGGCCUCUCGCGUCAGGAUAUGCCCAGGUGGGAUUAGCUAGUUGGUGAGGUAAAGGCUCACCAAGGCGACGAUCCCUAGCUGGUCUGAGAGGAUGAUCAGCACACUGGAACUGAGACACGGUCCAGACUCCUACGGGAGGCAGCAGUGGGGAAUAUUGCACAAUGGGCGCAAGCCUGAUGCAGCCAUGCCGCGUGUGUGAAGAAGGCCUCGGGUUGUAAAGCACUUUCAGUCGUGAGGAAGGUGGUGUAGUUAAUAGCUGCAUUAUUUGACGUUAGCGACAGAAGAAGCACCGGCUAACUCCGUGCCAGCAGCCGCGGUAAUACGGAGGGUGCGAGCGUUAAUCGGAAUUACUGGGCGUAAAGCGCAUGCAGGUGGUUUGUUAAGUCAGAUGUGAAAGCCCGGGGCUCAACCUCGGAAUAGCAUUUGAAACUGGCGAACUAGAGUACUGUAGAGGGGGGUAGAAUUUCAGGUGUAGCGGUGAAAUGCGUAGAGAUCUGAAGGAAUACCGGUGGCGAAGGCGGCCCCCUGGACAGAUACUGACACUCAGAUGCGAAAGCGUGGGGAGCAAACAGGAUUAGAUACCCUGGUAGUCCACGCCGUAAACGAUGUCUACUUGGAGGUUGUGGCCUUGAGCCGUGGCUUUCGGAGCUAACGCGUUAAGUAGACCGCCUGGGGAGUACGGUCGCAAGAUUAAAACUCAAAUGAAUUGACGGGGGCCCGCACAAGCGGUGGAGCAUGUGGUUUAAUUCGAUGCAACGCGAAGAACCUUACCUACUCUUGACAUCCAUAGAACUUAGCAGAGAUGCUUUGGUGCCUUCGGGAACUAUGAGACAGGUGCUGCAUGGCUGUCGUCAGCUCGUGUUGUGAAAUGUUGGGUUAAGUCCCGCAACGAGCGCAACCCUUAUCCUUGUUUGCCAGCACUUCGGGUGGGAACUCCAGGGAGACUGCCGGUGAUAAACCGGAGGAAGGUGGGGACGACGUCAAGUCAUCAUGGCCCUUACGAGUAGGGCUACACACGUGCUACAAUGGCGCAUACAGAGGGCGGCCAACUUGCGAAAGUGAGCGAAUCCCAAAAAGUGCGUCGUAGUCCGGAUUGGAGUCUGCAACUCGACUCCAUGAAGUCGGAAUCGCUAGUAAUCGUGGAUCAGAAUGCCACGGUGAAUACGUUCCCGGGCCUU